CCCGGCUCUUUGACAAUGGCAGGACGUCGGAAGAGGCUGCAGUUGGCUAGCCUCUGCUCUGCCUGAGAUCACGGCUCUCCGCUGGUGGAAACACCUACCCUCGACGCUCUGGAAGCAAGAAACGGCGUCCAGAAGCUCCUUGCAUCUUAGAGUGCAUCAGUGUCUCAAAUAUUCCUGGAGAUAAUGGCUUUCUGAGAGCCAUUUUCUACAGAACUGAUGUUCGGUGACUACUUAUUGAAUACUUCAUACAUACCAAGCAUCGUGCCAGCACUUCAUUUGCUAUCUCAUCCAAUCCUCAAACCAACCUUAAAAAGAAUAAAUGGGUGUCUGAAGAAACUAAGACUUGGAAAACUUGAGUAAUUGGCACAAAGUCCUACAGCUUGUAAAUGGAGAUUCAGAAAUGAAGGCCAGGCAUCUUGACUUGAAUUCCAGCGUUUUCUAUUCCUGAUGAGACGAAUGUGUCUCCUAAAUCCUAUCAAAUUCUUUAAAGUAAGACCAUCUGUGACAUGUCCCAGGAACAUGAAAAAACCUAACACACCUGGCAGAGAGGAUACUCUGAAUGGGCUGCUCACACAGAACUAUUCUGAAGAUAGCAACGGCUAAUGCACAUUGGUCUCCUCCCCGUGAACAAAGCCUCCUGGAGAGAAACCAGCUGCGUUGGAGGCACUCCUCACCGUGGCCAUGGCCUUGGAAACAACUGAGAAUCACAGGGUGGUCAAUUCUCAAGCUGGCAGGGAUCUCAGAGAGCUGUUGACCCACUCCCCUUCUUCACUUAACGGAUGAAAUGAAGACAAGAUCGCUGGAGAGACUUGUCCCAAGUCACAUACAGCUGGCAUCCAAAUCAGAACUGUUUUCCAAAAAUAUCACACGGUGGUACAUGGAGCACAACCCUUGUGAGGCUGGAGGACGACUAAAUUCAAGCAACAUUUAUUAAGCACCCUGUUUUGUGUGUAAGGCACCUUACUAGAUGGUAUUGAAGAUACAGAUUGAUGAGACAUCGUCCCGGCCUCCGAGUGCUAUCAAGGUCCUGGGAAGCCGUGCCCCGUACCUUUCUGAGCAGAAAUAACACCGACCAGGGCUAUGGUUGCUGGUGAUAACAAGGCAACUGCCACCUGCAAAGAGCUCAACUUGCAACAGGGCCACACCGUCCCCUUCACGGUCAGCAUUAGUGCUUGUUACGCAGCUGCUAUGUAUGAAAACUCUCCGAACUCCAAGGACAGUCUUUGCUCCAAGGCCUGCAGUCAAGCCUUCUGCCCCCAAGCCGGGUCAGAAGGGCAAUAGUGCCUCAACCCCCCCACUCAAUUCUUAAUCACUGUUAGCUUUCCCCUGUGCAAGGAUUCUCACCAUUUCCAAAGCUACUAUCCAAGUGACCCAGGAAAAUACCCUACCAUAUCCAUCACUGGUUCAUAAUGGCCACCGCCCCCAUCAACCACCUCUGCUUCCUCUAUGCCAAGGGUGAAAGGGUUCCAGUCCUCUGUGUCCUACCCAUGCUUAUUUCCCAUACUGCACAAGACAUGGAAGGUGUCAGUGUCGAUCAGAAUAACACAGGUUCAGGAGGCCACGGAAACAUGAGUGAGCCGACAAUAAAAAAAUGAUCUCCUACUUUUGUA
Long non-coding RNA from Oryctolagus cuniculus (rabbit), 1610 nucleotides. RefSeq lists it as uncharacterized. The record is from RefSeq and is a predicted model, not a curated record. Lineage: Eukaryota; Metazoa; Chordata; Mammalia; Lagomorpha; Leporidae.